This is a long non-coding RNA of Cyanistes caeruleus (blue tit), 1777 nucleotides long. The record is from Ensembl. NCBI's taxonomy places the organism in Eukaryota, Metazoa, Chordata, Aves, Passeriformes, Paridae.
AUUUUCUUAUGGCAGCACCCAAACAAUGUAAACAUAAAACUAGAAUUUUAUCUGUCAUUGGAAUGCCAGAGGCUCUGGAGUUCAGAGCAGACCUUUGUAAACCAAAUGAGUGCAGUCCAGUAUAUCAAUGCACUCUCCUCAUAAUUUUCCAAUCUUUUUAGUGAAAUAUGUUUAGCCUUUCUGGUGUAAAAGUUUUGCUUGUGACCAUUGUUCACCCCCCAUAAACAAAGCAACCACCUGUUAUUUAAAACUGGAGUAACAGAAGGACUGAGCACCUUCAACCUACUGAAAUCAAUGCUAGUUCAGUUUCUAUACAGUCUUGUGAGUCUGACCUUCAUCUCAUUUUUCCUUUCAUCCAAAGCUGACUGUAAAAUUUGGUUCAAAGGAAUAAAGAAGUGAAAGACAUUUCUGGUCUGGAUGGCAGUGGAAGAGCUCAAUCUCUACAGAAAAUCAGAAGCAUUCCAGUGGAGCUUGACAACCAGAGCAGACUUGAGGCAGACAAGAAAUGGAAGCCACCAUUAGCCAGAACAACACUGUUAACAAGAAACAUUAGGCCACCUCUUUGGAAUUGGAAUAUAUGCCAGACACUUGACACAAGGUUCUAUCAAGCAAAAACAAAGUACAAAUCAGAGAAAUAACAUGCAGAAUAAGCAAAGCUGUGCAACAAGAGAGAACUGCUAAGAAAGGAAGAAAAAACAGAUUUUGUGGAAGGCUUAACAGCAUAACUUGACACAGGAUGAGCUCACAAACAAACUGGAGUCUCCAAAUCUGUCAGGAUUAGUGCCCGAGCUGCAGCAGCAUGAUAUACCUGCAACAUCAGUUCUGCCAAGAACUUUGCUUGAGCUGUGGAAAGGGUCACCAGCAGUUUGAUGGAGCCACCCAAGAUCUGGGAAAGAGAACCAACCUGCCAUGUCUCAGUUUUUGUAGUUUCCAGCUGUGGCUGUGGCUGGAAGGGUGAUGCAUAGCACUGCUAGUGAAUUACAUUACAGAAAUUACUAACAUGCAUGAGGAAGGAUGCCUGAGCCACUCCUUCAAUCAAUGAGCAAUAUCUCCAAAGAGCACUCUCUUCUCCUAUGCCCAAGGCCCUAGGAACAAGGGAAGUGCCACGAGAAAGACUGGGUCCACAGGUCAUCUCUUUCAUACCACAAACACCCCUGUCCUUACUUACUCUGUGAAUUUGGGAAAAAAAAAUAAUGGUGUCUGGGUGCUUCACAAAAGGAAGUGAAAAAUUCCAAAGCAGACAGGAAACACCACACUGCAAUGAAGCCAGCCUUGUGACAAGGGAACAUCCCCUUAUGGACAGACCUUGAGAACGCAAACAAUUUUACAUGUAAGCACUUGAACACACAUACACACGUGUGCAUAUAUACACACACACACAUAAGCAUCUUCCACAAGUCUCAGAGGUUAGAGUUUGACACACUGAACCUUGGGCUGGACCUGGACAAUACUUCUGGUUUUGUGACUAAUGCAAAUUUAAGGUCAUUCUCAGAAUUUUGAGAAUAAUCCUGCACUUGUGAACUUCUCACUCUGGGUUGAAGUGCUCUGUCUGCAAUUACUUCAGAGUGUCAGGGUUGUGAGGGUUAUUCUAGUUACUCAUAAAGUAAAAAGGAGUUAGGGUAAUUGUCUUAUUUUCCACCUGCAAGCUCAUUUUUACAAUAGUUUAUCUUCAUAUUGAGAGCAGUGAAAAAAUAUGGUAUUCAUAUCAAUAUAUUAAUAUUAGUCUCACAUAUUAAUUAAAGUAUAAUAAAUUAACAACACAGAAUUAGAAAUUGCA